UAGGAAGAAGUUGAGAAAAUUACACAACCAUAUUUAGAUGCUCUUGGUGAAGACUAUUCUGUUUGUUGCCAAGGAACUGCUUUUUUUCCUUUGCAAAGCUGCAUGAACCAUUCCUGUAGUUCUAAUGCCAAAGCCUUCAAGAGAGACGAGGAUAGGGAUGGCCAAGCAACCAUAAUCGCAGUAAGGCCGAUUCGAAAAGGAAAAGAG
This is a non-coding RNA of Arachis ipaensis, 207 nucleotides long. Lineage: Eukaryota; Viridiplantae; Streptophyta; Magnoliopsida; Fabales; Fabaceae. The record is from RefSeq and is a predicted model, not a curated record.